This 170-nucleotide unclassified non-coding RNA is filed under the name uncultured Gliocladium. Its description in RNAcentral is "sequence contains ITS2". Lineage: Eukaryota; Fungi; Ascomycota; Sordariomycetes; Hypocreales. The record is from RNAcentral.
CAACCCUCGAGCCCUCGUGGCCCGGCGUUGGGGAUCUGCCCAGGCAGGCCCCGAAAACCAGUGGCGGACCCGUUUGGGACCUCUCCUUACGUAGUAGCAUCAGCCUCGUAUCGAGAACCAGCGGGCUUCCAGCCUCUAAACCCCCCACAAGUCCGCUCCGGCGGCACCAA